AACGAACGCUGGCGGCAGGCCUAACACAUGCAAGUCGAGCGAGGACUUCGGUCCUAGCGGCGGACGGGUGAGUAACGCGUGGGAACGUGCCCUUUGCUUCGGAAUAGCCCUGGGAAACUGGGAGUAAUACCGGAUGAGCCCUUUGGGGGAAAGAUUUAUCGGCGAAGGAUCGGCCCGCGUUGGAUUAGGUAGUUGGUGGGGUAAUGGCCUACCAAGCCGACGAUCUAUAGCUGGUUUGAGAGGAUGAUCAGCCACACUGGGACUGAGACACGGCCCAGACUCCUACGGGAGGCAGCAGUGGGGAAUCUUAGACAAUGGGGGAAACCCUGAUCUAGCCAUGCCGCGUGAGCGAUGAAGGCCUUAGGGUUGUAAAGCUCUUUCAGCUGGGAAGAUAAUGACGGUACCAGCAGAAGAAGCCCCGGCUAACUCCGUG
RNAcentral lists this ribosomal RNA (433 nucleotides) under uncultured bacterium. Its description in RNAcentral is "partial 16S ribosomal RNA". It matches the Rfam family "Bacterial small subunit ribosomal RNA", at positions 29 to 507 of the family's 1533-position model. The record is from RNAcentral.